RNAcentral lists this ribosomal RNA (485 nucleotides) under uncultured bacterium. RNAcentral describes it as "partial 16S ribosomal RNA". It matches the Rfam family "Bacterial small subunit ribosomal RNA", at positions 29 to 507 of the family's 1533-position model. The record is from RNAcentral.
ACGAACGCUGGCGGCGUGCUUAACCCCUGCAAGUCGAACGCUGAAGACCUGGCUUUUGUUGGGUUGGAUGAGUGGCGAACGGGUGAGUAACACGUGAGUAACCUGCCCUCUUCUUUGGGAUAACGCCCGGAAACGGGUGCUAAUACUGGAUAUUCACUGGCCUUCGCAUGGGGGUUGGUGGAAAGGUUUGUUCUGGUGGGGGAUGGGCUCGCGGCCUAUCAGCUUGUUGGUGGGGUGAUGGCCUACCAAGGCUUUGACGGGUAGCCGGCCUGAGAGGGUGACCGGUCACAUUGGGACUGAGAUACGGCCCAGACUCCUACGGGAGGCAGCAGUGGGGAAUAUUGCACAAUGGGCGAAAGCCUGAUGCAGCGACGCCGCGUGAGGGAUGGAGGCCUUCGGGUUGUAAACCUCUUUCGCUCAUGGUCAAGCCGCAACUGUGGGUUGUGGUGAGGGUAGUGGGUAAAGAAGCGCCGGCUAACUACGUG